GUAGCUAACUACGUCAGAUUACAUUAUGGAUGUGAACUAUGGAUAAUUAAUUUAAUUUCCUGCGCCAGAUGUGAUACAGAUCGACUAGCAUGUAUCUGGUCCAAAAUCUGGGUUUUCUCAAACCCAUUGAUUUUUGCCCCAAAGAGAGGUAUUGUCCUGCAGCAUAAAAGGGGGUUUAUUUUCAGAACUAAAGUAGGAGAUCACAGUUAUUUAAGGAGAUAUUUCCUGUCCUAUUUCCUAUUAUGUCUAGCAGUUUUCCAACACAUUAUGGGGUGAUUGAUUAGUUUUUGGACUCUCAUUACCUAUUGCCCAGCCUGUCAUGAAGGGGUCAUUUUCCAGAAUUGAACAGAUAUUUAUUGGGAGGAUAUUUUAUGAUCAAGUGAGCCCACAGCCAGCUGGUGAAUACAAAUUGAAGACUCAAUUGCCAAUACAUGGAGGACUUCUACAGCUGUUAUAGUUAGGUAGGUUUCUAUUGGGAUUUGUUUAUGUUUUGGUUUUAUUAGUUAACUUAUAUAUAAUUCUGAAGUUAGAAGGUUCCUGCUUGGAGUUGGGCCUUUCAUGCAAGGUUUAAGAUCUUGAUCUUGCCCCUAAUAUCGAUAAAAAGAAUGGUUUUGAGAAUUUAUUUUUACCUAAAGCUGCUCUCGAGAAGAAAAGGAUCUCUAAAGGUUGAUGAUGAAGUGAUAAUCUUCAACCUCCAAGUGUUGAAGUUGUUAAUCUACACUGUAGAGGAGAAAUUUGACAAGAAAAUCCACGAGAAGUUCAUUUUUCUUCACAGCAAGGCAAGAUAGGCAAGAUGUGUCGAGGUGGAGCGAGUUGAGGGUUGAAAUUAUGUAUAUACCCCAUGUGAUUUGGUCUUGGGACGAGUCGAGAUUGAGAUAUUCACUGAGAUCUCGACCGAGAUAUUGCACUUUUUAUGUAUUGCCUCAUCUCGUCUCACCAUUUUCAAAUAGCGAUAUCUCACCGAAUUCUUAAACCGUGCUUUCAUGUCCUCGUCUGACAUUAUUUGGUAUUAGAGCGAAGGAGGGGUGGUAGAUAAGAUUAACGUUUGCUGAAAUCUACUUCCCAUUGAAGGCUGACCGUGCUAGUCUGAUUUGACAUUUCUACCAAACUCGUGGAUGAGUUUUUUAAAGAUGAGGAGAGCUGACGUAGAUCGACUAGCAUGUCCAUGUACCUUGUUAAUUCUGGGUUUAUUCUUAUCCAUUUAUUUUUGCCCAUAAAAGGGGAUCUAUUUCCAGAAUUAAAGUACGAGAUCACAGUUAUUUAAGGAGAUAUUUUCUGUCCUAUUUCCUAUUAUAUUGAGCAGUUUUCCAGCACAUUAUGAGGCUAUUGAUUAGUUUUUGGAGACUGUCAUUAGCUAUCAGCCAGCCUGUCAUGAAGGGGGUUAUUUUCCAGAAUUGAGCAGAUAUUGAUUAGGAGAAUAUUUUGUGAUCAGGUGGGCCCCACAGCCAGCUGUUGAAUACGAAUUGAAGACUCAAUCGCCAAUAUGAGGACUCCUAUAGCUGUUAUAAUUAGAUGGAAGGCUGCUGCUCCCCCACUCACCGCCUUUUCUAUGGUGAGAAUUGAAUGAGGUAUACCCCCAGCUUAGCUGCCAAUAUAGUUAAAAGCGAAGCAUCUUAUUCACUGACUAAUGGAGUACGUAACGAGUCAUCUUUAGAGUGGAUUUGGAAAAUAUCUUGACAUUUGCACUUGGUUAGUACUUUCUCAGGUUAUAGAUGUGUACUUACUCUAUCCCUGCCCCAGUGAGAACAAACUGUUAAUAUUGAAGAGAAGUGGAAGAAAGGCUAGUGGAACCUGUCUGAUGUAGGGUGACACCUUUCUCCCUUGAGUUUGCAGACUUUUGAUCCAUCAUUUGCUGAUGUGUUCUGUUUCCUUUAGAAAAUGAGCAUGGUCGGCUGCUUAGGCAUUGGCUUCAUAUGUAAGUGUCCAUCUCAAUCCAUGCGUGCCAUGAACAGCACAAUACCUUAUCGUGAUUAAUGCAUGGUCCAUUACGCCACUGGGGAAGCCUGUCUUUUUAAUCACAUACCCAUCCCACAACUUGAUUUGGGAGCUUUUAGUGUUUAGAUUUUGAAGGCAGCCUUCUUGUGGAUGUAUGUGGUUAUAUUCGCAGCUUUCGGAACAUAAAUCCAUAUUUGAAUGAACAGAGGCAGAUCAGAAGUUGCGUUGUCUUUUUUUUUGUUUCCAGGCAGGUAAAACUUCAUCACAGGCUACCAAAAGUGAUUUUCCAUAUAUGAACUAAAUCGAUAGAUUGGUUUUUUUGGGGUUUGGAGUCGAUCUGAUGGUUCUGAUUUGUGAAAUUCCAUUCCCAGAAAUUUCAAAAUUUGUAUUCAAACUCCGUAGUGCUAAAGUAAGCCGCGUGGCUAUCAUGUGUUAUUUUUCAGAAUUACAUUGCCAAUGGAAUUUAAAUAUGUAUCUCAGCAGUCA
Macadamia integrifolia is the source of this 2421-nucleotide long non-coding RNA. RefSeq lists it as uncharacterized. NCBI's taxonomy places the organism in Eukaryota, Viridiplantae, Streptophyta, Magnoliopsida, Proteales, Proteaceae. The record is from RefSeq and is a predicted model, not a curated record. The transcript is spliced from 2 exons.